GGCAGAAAGAGAGACAGAGAAAGAAAGACAUAAAGAGGGAGAGAGAACAGACGCAGCCUGCAGGGCUCAGGCUGCCUCUGGAUUAAGGUUCUAAUUCCUUCAGCAUUUUCCUUCCUUGUCUAAGAUUUGAAUCUGCUUCUAGAACUGAGUCUUACUACUCCUGAAUCUUCCAUUUUCUGUUUUGUCCAAACCCUGCCGAAAUCACAGGAGACGAUUUUUCUUUUGGUUCCUUGGCUUUUGUGCUAUAGCUGGUCUGGCCUUCCCCAUCUACUUUUCUUAGAACCCCAAACAGAUGCACCAGCUAGAGGGCAAAAUUGUACUCCAGGCAAAGCAUCUAGUUGUCACUGCAUCACAGUGGCUCCACUUACAUACGAGCACAUAGGGGACACUGCACAGCCCCUUGAUGGUGACAGUGGUUGUGGGUAACGCCUUAAGCUUCGUGGCCAGAGGUCCAGGUUGGCACCGAGGCAGUAAUCUCCUCCCUGUCCCUCCCCCCUGACAAACUGUGCAACCUCCUCCAUCAGGUACCACGGGGGGGAAGCAAGAGGCCCUUCUGAGGCUGCAAGGAAGGAGCAUCCCUCUUGUUUUGACUAUGUGAGGUUCCCAGGAUGAAGGCAUAAAUGUGGUCUCCUACUCCUCUUUCUCACCCUGCCUUCCUCAAACUAUAAUAUCAUCUUUAUUGAGAUUCCCUCCAAGAGAAAAAGACUGCAGAGAACGAGAAUUGAAGUCAUCAGUCCACCAGUACCCUACUAAAGAAGAGAACUCUGGCAGAGUACCCCACACCUCCCUCCUGCCCGCCCACCUGUACAUCUCAGUGGAGUUCUGAGAUUUCCACCUCUAGCUUGGUUUGAAUCUUAUAUAAUGAAUCUGAAUCCCGUGUCCUCAAAAUAAGCUUGGGUGUGGACUGAGUGGCAAGAAAUGGAGGGUGUCAGUCAGCCAGGGAGGGCUUGAGUUUCCAUCCCAGUGCCUGAGGCUUCCUAGAGAAAGGCAAUCAGCCCAAUUCACAGCCAACUACCUCCUCAGGAUGCAAGACCUUCUGUCCUGUCCACCUUGUGUAGCCUGUCAUCAGCACUGGCUCUAAUGAGAAUCAGUAACAGACCCUAUGGAGCAGGGCAAGGCAGUGGAUACAGUCUGUCUUAAAGUUCUUAAAACACACAUGCAGACAAUUAAAAUGGAAGUGAAACAGAAAAGGCCAGGUGAUCUUCUAGGCUCACAGAUUU
Ceratotherium simum simum (southern white rhinoceros) is the source of this 1220-nucleotide non-coding RNA. The record is from RefSeq and is a predicted model, not a curated record. NCBI's taxonomy places the organism in Eukaryota, Metazoa, Chordata, Mammalia, Perissodactyla, Rhinocerotidae.